Dinoponera quadriceps is the source of this 7982-nucleotide long non-coding RNA. RefSeq lists it as uncharacterized. NCBI's taxonomy places the organism in Eukaryota, Metazoa, Arthropoda, Insecta, Hymenoptera, Formicidae. The transcript is spliced from 2 exons. The record is from RefSeq and is a predicted model, not a curated record.
CGUAGUACGAAGUUUUAUUACGUGUAGCAACCUACCGGCGAAUGAUGAUUAUAACGACGACGACGAUAACGACGAGAUUCCGACGGAGAUAACCCGAUAGAUAGCUGUUCUUCCGAGCUGACGCAGCACGACCACCACCACCACCACCACCUUUGUAUACUCGCGAGCGCGGGAGAGGCGGGCGAAAAUGACAUUCCGUCGCGGACUAUUUUGCACAAACGGGAGACUCGACGGUGGGAGUACUGAGAGCGAGCACGACAGAGAGAGAGAAAGAGAGAGAUACAUAGAUAGGAACGGACAGGGGGAAAGAGACAAGAGAAAGAAACACGCGUUUCGUAACAACAACAAUACGGUAUCGCAUAAUGUCAAUCUAAACGUAAUUUGUAAGCUUUGUACGAUGAAGUUUGUAUUAUAUACACACACACAUAUACACACACAAAUACAUAAGCCAAGACUGCACAAUUGCUAUGGGAUUGACUUGAUAAAUUUUAACGAGUGAUCUUACACAUUAAUGAAAGAGAGAGAGAGAGAGAGAGAAAGAGAGAAAUAAAUAGGGCGAGCACAAUAAAUCGAUAGAUUAGAUCGAUCUUAGACUAUCUGAAUCUCGCGUGCGAGGCUCCGCCAGGCGCACUAAACCCUUCAACUGCGAAAUCAUGCGCGCGCGCGCGUGUGUGUGUGCUAUUUUCACCUUGCUGUGUCAAGUCCAUCGCUUUCGAGAACGAGAUCGAGAACGAAGGCGGCGUUCCGUGCGGCGCCGACGCGUCCGUUGGCUUGAAUCCACUGAAAAAUAUCGCGCCGAUCCGUGUGGCGCGGCGGAUUAUCUUCAUUUUAUACGAAAAAAAAUGACAAACCCACGAGACGAUGUUGCAUCGUGACACGCGUGGUGAUUCUCCCCUGGCGAAUGUUUUCUGACAAGUAAAAUGCUGACUGACGUCGUUAACGCGGUUAACGGAAUACCGCUAUAAAAGUGUGCGAGAAAGAGAGAGAGAGAGAGAGUGAAUAUAAGAAAGAAAAAGAGAGAGAGAGAGAGAAAGGAAGAAAGACUGUCGUCGAGCUCACGAAUGUAAAAAAAAUCGAUAGACGUGAAAGAACCAAGAGCGCGCUGACGGCUCUUUCUCGCGAAACCGAGCGAGAGAGCAAGUCACGUGUGCGUGCAUGUGUGCGUGCGUGCGUGCGUACGUGCGUGUGUGUAAUAUUUCUCGUGCAAUCAUCGAAAUCAUCGUCCUCCCUCUCUCACACGCGCUAAUCCAUAUCUAACUUCAGAAACUGAAGCCGUCCACCGGCUUGAAAGAUUCACCGUCCCUCAAUGAGGAUGUCGUAUUAACCGACAUCAAGAAGAUAUCGCUUCGCACUCGAUACCCCGAUAACGGUCACGACAUGCCAUUAAUUUUCGAUGCGUUAAUCACGAACGUCACCAGCGAGGGUGAGGGACGAGAGAACCGGGGAGAAUCGCGCGUGCGAAUUGUCUCGGGUGUGCACGGAGAGAGAAUAUUAUAGUUCUUUUUUACUCACUGGCGGGAUUCUCCUCAAUUGUACUACGUUUCCCGAUAGCGCGGAAAGAUUGAUUGUCGCCGGGCUUUAUCUCGUUGAAGGACAGUGAAUCUUUCAAGCCGGUGGACGGCUUCGGUUUCUUAAGUUAGAUAUGGAUUAGCGCGUGUGAGAGAGGGAGGACGAUGAAUUGGGACAGAAUGCGCGCGUCGACGUGUUCGGAAAUUCUUUAGUGAUCUUCGCUAUAAAAUCCCCUCCGUGUGUGUGUAUGUGUGUCCUUCGGCGGAAAGCGCUGUGUUCUCUCCCCGAGACACGCGAUUUGCGUAUUUGUAAUUUGUACGACUCACUCUCGUGCACUGUACUUGUCCACUCUCGAACUCCUCGUAUGCGCGCGAUACCGUUUUCCCGAUCAAAUUUCUUUGUUUUUCUUUUGUUCGUCCGAUGUGAAAGAGAGAGAGAGAGAGAGAGAGAGAGAGAGAGAGAGAGAGAGAGAGAGAGAAAGAGAAAGGAUUCUUUAUUUUAUUUAUUUUACUCGAAGUCACGGGAAUUGUAUAGAAAUUGCGGGAAUUGUAUAGAAAUGGUGUGUGGAAAUUGGGAGGAGGAAGUGGGGAGGUGAGAACGAGAAUAAAACGAAGUGCAAUCGAUGUGUGCGAAAUUUUGCCGGUGACGCGGGAAAGAGUCAUUAACCGGCGUUGCAGAGAGAUCCCCUUCCGAGAGUGAAGCUUUCGAAAAAUCACGUCGGCCACGUCGCUGAAGGUUCUCCGUUACGCAAGUCUGAAUGGAGCAACGGCGCUGAUAAUGAUAAAGCACGCGUUAUUUUUAUGCGAACGUGACGAUAUUUAUAUCGUGAGAAAAGAAUUAUUAAAAAUACGUCCAGAGGAUACGUCGCGCGGUUAAUGACAGUUUCCGUGAGGUCGACGAGAGAGCGCGCUGCAAUUGGAAGACGGCCGUUGAAAGAGAGAUUUGAGGAGGCCCCGUGACGUUCACGCGGACACCCGGGGACACAUCGGGUAUGGCGUCCGCACAUCACACGGCGCGAAAACACGGGUGCAAUCGGAAGAGCUUAUUUCCGAUUACGCGUUACGAGGCUUCUGUGGCGCGUGAUAUACCCGUUUUUUUCUUUCCACUUUGUUCUUUUCUCUUGUUAAAUAUAGCCUUAACCAUAGGUAAGCGACGUUAUUUUUAGUUCGUUAUUAGCAGCGAUGAGUGAAACCUGUUCGCAGUUAUCUCACCGUUGAAUUGCUCUUGACAUUUUUCGUUUUUCCGGCUCCCAGGCGAGAAUAGACGAAGAGACAAAGUUUUAUUUGCGAACCCCGAGAGACAGGCAGGGAGAGUGAGAGAGGGAGAGAGAACAGCAGAAGAAUAUCGAUAUCACGAAUAAUAAAUGAACGCUAUGCCAAACAGACGACGUCGUUUCCUCCGAGUGAAUCUUCUACGGAAUCGAACGAGCGCACUCUCGUUCGUCGUUGCGUUUCGAUUUAAAACACGAGAACGCCCUGCAAGCUCCUCGAUUUCGCGCGCGCGCGAGAUUUUCGGCCGGCCUUGCCUCUCUCUCUCUCUCUCUUUCUCUCUCUCUCUCUCUCUCUCUCUCUCCCCUUUUCUUCCGCUUCUCUUUAAAUCGAGCGCUUUCACAUGCGCGCACGACGCUCGUGUUCCGGACGUCGUGAAAAAAACAGAUUGGCCGGAAACGCGCGGAUACUUGCGGUCGCGAGCGCUAAUCUCGCGGUCUCUAUUAGCCGACCGACACGAAGGAAGAAUGUGAGGCGAUGAGCUCUCGUGUGUGUAUGUGCGUCGGGGAGACACACGCCGACCUGGAAUAAACACGACGAGAGAGUCCGCGAACGUCACGCGAAGAUGGGGAUUCCCGAGAAGCGAACCUCUCUCUCUCUCUCUCUCUCUUGGGGUCAUUUUCGCGCCCCCGAGAAUCUUCGAGACGCGGUCGUCGUAUCAUUCGAACCCCUUCCGUACGAAUCGCGAUAAUGCUGACGUGCCGCGAAUUUUCGCCGGCCGAGAAAUACCUGUGACGUCAUCGCUGAUAAGCCUUACGGGAACCUCGGGGAACUCGUAAGCGUGAGUAUUUCGAGUACACACAUACAUACACAUUGCGUGUACAUAUAUAUGAUAUUAAGGCUUCUGUCCCUCGCCGCAGCCAUCUUAACUAAUGACGUCAGAAACGAGAAAAUGUCCAAAAUUCUUGCGAAAAACGUUCAAAUAAAACGGUAGGUCCGUAAAAUGAUACUUGUGCGAUUGAUUGAAAGCAUAUUUGUAAAACAUUCCGGGAACUUUUUUCACUCUCACAAUAAUCAACAAAUGACCGUAAAAUCAACAUGACAUAUAACUUGCCUUUUUAGCCUAUCUUAUAAUUUUGUCACGUUAAUUCUACAGCUAUAUAUUAGCCGUUAAAAGGAAAAUUUUCGAGAUAUUUUACAAAUGUGGAUCAAUCGAGUAUCAUUUUAUGGAAAUAUCCGCUUGUUUCAACGUAUUCCGUAGGAAUUUUAUCGUUUUUGACGUCAUUAAUCAAGAUGGCUGCGACGGGGAAACAAGAGUCUUAACGAUUUUUUAUUUAAUAAUUAUCGUAUUUUGUGUCGUAAUUCCGACGUAAUGAUUUUAUGACAGACCAAUCGAAUGAUAGAGAGACUCUUUUUUUUAAAUCAGGUAAAUUGGUAAGGUCGAUAAGAGCCGAUCGCAGGUGUACUUUGCUUGUAUUUUGCUAUGUAAGGUACACGCAGAUACAAAUCAACAAAAUAUCGAUCGAAAUGUCUCGGUCGAAAAUAUUCAUAUGAGAGGAAUUGUCGGUUGUGUGUAAUGAGUAGAAACAUAGUCAACCCAAGUCCUGCCCCAAAUCGCGUUUAUCAACGGACGCAUCAUUACAGGCGUUUUACGACAUACUUCGCUGUUGACAUUUCGUUUCGUAUCAAUAAUUUCGGGCUGAGAGAGUGAUCACAAAAAGAGAAUGACCACAAAAACGGUCGGAAUGUUUCGACUGAUAUCUUAUGGAUUUCUACGUUUAUUAUUCACGUGUACUUUACCUUGUAAAAUACGCACGGAACAAAUAUUUCAUUGGUAUAGCAAAUUUGUCAGUUACUAUGGGGUAGCAAAAAAGAUUUGUUGGGACAGCAAUAAGAUUUGUUAAGAAUAUUAAUUGCUAUUUGCUGGAUAUAUAAAGAGCAAAAUAAUUUGGUUACGCCAACUAAACGUUUUGUUACAAUAGUAAAAUUUCUUUUUCCGUGUAACGAAUCUUUUUUGCUAUCCGCAUAGUGACUGAGACAUUUGCUAUGCCAGCAAAAUAUAUGUAAUUUAUAUAAUAAUUCAUUGUAAAAGCAACAUUCGGUUCUUGUUAGCUUGUUGAUAUUUUUUUCUUUCAUUCACGUCGAUUCAGUGUCGCUCGACUCUGAGAGUGAAACCAUCGUAAGGAAAGGGUUAAUCGCUUCACACUACCGUUCUUGUGUUUCUCGCCCGAAUUUUAUAUAAAAAGAAAAAAAAUACACACGUGCACACAUAGUCAAGCAGGUACACGCGAAGUCCGGAUCACAAAGGACGUGAACGUCAUCCGCCUAGAUAGCUCACCAAGUAUUUGAUAUACUCGAAGAUCUAUUUAUAUAUUUGUAUGAGGAGAGAGCACACAGGAGAGAGAAAGAGAGAGAGAGAGAGAGAUCUGCACGUGUCUCUCGCUCGUCUCUCAUUCUCUCACCCGAAGAGAGAUCGCAUGCUAUUUUUCUAAAGCAGCGUCCAAACUUUUAUCGCGCGCGAACGCGCCUGGAUCGAUUAACGUUUUACGUGAUCCUCUAUUUGGCGAGCUAUCGUCGGCGGACGAGAAAGAGAUGCGAGGAGGAGGAGGCGGAGGAGGAUGAAGAAGACGACGACGAGAUCGCGUCACGCCUCUACAGCUAUUACGUACUCCUCGUCAACGAUGUUCAAACGACGUUUCUGUAUCGCUGCCCGACUCGGUCCAGCAUAUCACGUGUACAUCACUUAAAGACCAGGAAUUGUUUCUCUUCUCCCCCUCCAGGCCAUCUCUACUCCGCUGACGUGUACGCGAACGAGCGGCGCGGAAUCGCUUAUCUUCCACCAUGUGUCGAAAACUCGCCAAGAAACGGACAAAGAUGCAUGCGACAUAUCGUAUGUGUGAACAAUUUGCGAAUACAGAGAGAGAGAGAGACACGUGCGCCAUUUGUCAUGCAAACGACGUCGUGCGUCGACGUCGGUCUCACAAACUGCAAGAAGAUGAAAAAGAAAAAAAGAGAAAAAACACCGGGAAAACGAGCAAGUUUAACACCACGAUUUAGAUAUGUGUAUAUCGGCCUUUCAAUACCACCUGCGUCGCAUUGAUAUUGAGUACGAAGUAUGUUAUAUUUUUUACAAUGUGAAGAAUCUUGUACAUAUAUACCGUCGAAAUAUGUAUAUAUAUAUGUGCAUAUGUACAUACGUGUAUGUAUAUAUAUAUAUAUCUUGACACUCCUGGAAGGAGAGAGGACGACAGCGACACGGUGUGACUAUUUCGAUGGCGAGAAAGAAACAGAGAGAGAGAGAGAGAGAGAUGUGCAUCGUAACAGAUCACGGACAUUUUUUUCUUUCCUUUUUUCAUUAAUCCGUUCGCAAAAAAAAGGAAGGAAAGUGCGCUUCGUCCAGUUCGAAGAAGAAAAGGAAGAUCGAUCAGAUGGGCGGAUGGCGCCGCUGGAAUUUAAUUUCUCGGCCAUUCGCGACGCGGAAAUUCACGUCGCUGAUUUUUCCUCAGAGAGAGAGAGAGAGAGAGAGGGAUAUCUCCGUUCCGUACUAAUUCGUUAUUUCGUUUUUUUCUUCCUUGCUCGCUCGCUUGCUUGCUUGCUUUCGGCUCGGACGAAUCGCAAGUCGACGGACAGAGGCGAUGGAGCGAUUCGGCACGCUUUUACCUCGAUGUACCAGCACAUGAGAAUCUAGUCAUGGCCGAAUUGCGUCUCGAGGUGCUCGCAGAUCGUGAGUUUUCCUCCUCCCUCUCUUUCGCUCUUUUUUUCGUUUUGUCUAAUUCGAUGAAAAAUUUACUUUUUAAAAUACGCUGCGUCUUAAUCUGGUGCUGCCCAUCUGACAAUUAUCUUGUGAAGAGAAUAGAAAAAAGAAUGAGGACGAAUCGCAACUUUGAUGCAUAUUUUUUUUUCUUUACUCGUGCGGACUUUCUCCCCCCUUUUCUCACUUCACUUAUCCACUAACCAUUGUAACGAGCGGCUAUUUCGGCGCUGUCGCACGGAAAGGGCACGUUAGAGUAUCCGUCUGUGAGACGAACGAGCAAAAGCCGAUCGUCAUCCUGAUCGUCGUACCGAUUCUCGACACGAUCCUGCGUGAAAACGGACGAAGGGUGACUUUCACCGGGCUCCUAUCUGUCCGAUCGACGCGAUUCGCAUCGCCUUGUCAGCUAAAUAUUACCUGCUGCGUUCCGCUAAGAUAGAUAGGAAUUGUUAGUCUUUCGAUCAUCGUCGUCGGACGACAAAGCGCACAGAUGUGGAGAUUGACAAUUCUUCCGGCUGCUCGUCGAUUGACUCGAUCGAAAUUCGGUGGAGGUCACCCUUUCAGGGCGAUAACACACGGAAAAACGGAAUCAGCGAAAUAGGAGCGACAAACGAGUCGCGACCAGUCGCAGCUCAGACUUUCGCACAUUGCAGUCUCGGUAAUACUCGCUUGCGAUUGGUCGCUUCGUUCGCCGCCCACGUUUUUCUGUGGGCUAUGACCCUCGGCGAAGUAUUAGGCUGCAUACCGCUGCUGUAAUAAUUUGAUACUGAGACACACCUGUGAAUCUGGAUGCGGCGAUAUCGCUGAUUGAAAUUCUUUUCUGGUGAAAACACGAGCCCGCUGACGUAACAUUCAUUUUAUUUUCUACAACAACUCUUUAAGAAUAAUUUCUUCAGGCAUGUUGACUUGUGUCCUGUCAUUUUUGUGAAAAUGUGACUUCAACGAGAUAAUUAGUUUUAUCACUUUCUCCUCGUUUAAUAUUGUCAUUUAUUAAAUUCGUCGUUUGUUAUUAAUUGCUUUAGCGCUACAAAUCGCAAAUUACGUGUCUCGGGGUAUCGUUAUUUCGAAAUAUUCUCUCUUGGUGUCGUAUUUUAGAACAGUGACAUUUCUCUAGUGGGCUCGAGUAGAGAGAGAGAGAGAGAGAGAGAGAGAGAAAAGAAAGCGUUAGUAGGAUUUGAAAAGUAAAAACGAAAUAAAAGAUACGGCUAAUAUGAUUCCGCCUCGAAUAACGAUCCCGUGAGGUUUCGUGUCGCACCAAAUCGAUUUCGCCGCGUUUACAGAAAAAAGGAUAAAGAAACAGUUUACGUUAACGUUUUUUGAUAAACACAGGUCGUACGCAGCAUAAUAUUCCCGUGUUGUAAAGUAUCGUGCUAAUUAGGUAGUUGUAAUUUGGUUUGUACGAUGUCGAUAAAAAGGAAAAAAAGGAACUUAACUCUUGUGAUUAAGGAGAAGACUAUACAUAUAGGUAUAACGCUCACACAUAUACGUUUCAAAUAAAUCCUUUUUAUAUUUCA